GGGCCCGCACAAGCGGAGGAACAUGUGGUUUAAUUCGAUGAUACGCGAGGAACCUUACCCGGGCUUGAAUUGCAACUGAAUGAUGUGGAGACAUGUCAGCCGCAAGGCAGUUGUGAAGGUGCUGCAUGGUUGUCGUCAGCUCGUGCCGUGAGGUGUCGGCUUAAGUGCCAUAACGAGCGCAACCCUUAUCGAUAGUUACCAUCAGGUGAUGCUGGGGACUCUGUCGAGACUGCCGUCGUAAGAUGUGAGGAAGGUGGGGAUGACGUCAAAUCAGCACGGCCCUUACGUCCGGGGCUACACACGUGUUACAAUGGGGGGUACAGAAGGCAGCUACACGGCGACGUGAUGCUAAUCCCUAAAGCCUCUCUCAGUUCGGAUUGGAGUCUGCAACCCGACUCCAUGAAGCUGGAUUCGCUAGUAAUCGCGCAUCAGCCACGGCGCGGUGAAUACGUUCCCGGGCCUU
RNAcentral lists this ribosomal RNA (463 nucleotides) under uncultured bacterium. RNAcentral describes it as "bacterial SSU rRNA". It matches the Rfam family "Bacterial small subunit ribosomal RNA", at positions 917 to 1382 of the family's 1533-position model. The record is from RNAcentral.